AGUGAACGCUGGCGGUAGGCCUAACACAUGCAAGUCGAACGGCAGCACAGUAAGAGCUUGCUCUUACGGGUGGCGAGUGGCGGACGGGUGAGGAAUACAUCGGAAUCUACUUUUUCGUGGGGGAUAACGUAGGGAAACUUACGCUAAUACCGCAUACGACCUACGGGUGAAAGCAGGGGAUCUUCGGACCUUGCGCGAUUGAAUGAGCCGAUGUCGGAUUAGCUAGUUGGCGGGGUAAAGGCCCACCAAGGCGACGAUCCGUAGCUGGUCUGAGAGGAUGAUCGGCCACACUGGAACUUAGACACGGUCCAGACUCCUACGGGAGGCAGCAGUGGGGAAUAUUGGACAAUGGGCGCAAGCCUGAUCCAGCCAUACCGCGUGUGUGAAGAAGGCCUUCGGGUUGUAAAGCCCUUUUGUUGGGAAAGAAAAGCAGCAGGUUAAUACCCCGCUGUUCUGACGGUACCCAAAGAAUAAGCACCGGCUAACUUCGUG
Molecule: ribosomal RNA, 492 nt
Filed under: uncultured bacterium
Lineage: Bacteria
Description: partial 16S ribosomal RNA
Rfam family: Bacterial small subunit ribosomal RNA
Source: RNAcentral